GUAGGUGAACCUGCGGAAGGAUCAUUAAUGAAUUCAGGGAAUUGAUGCUGGCCUCUGUGCAUGUGCUCGUUCUCUAUAAUCCAUUCACACCUGUGCACUUGUUUUCAGAGCUAGGGAGAAAUCCCUGCUCUGCUAAUCACAUACUCUUAUAAUUUACUAUGAAUGUUUAUCAAGUCGAAAGACUUUUAAAUUAAUACAACUUUUAACAACGGAUCUCUUGGCUCUC
Molecule: unclassified non-coding RNA, 226 nt
Filed under: rhizosphere metagenome
Description: partial ribosomal RNA internal transcribed spacer region
Source: RNAcentral